RNAcentral lists this unclassified non-coding RNA (378 nucleotides) under soil metagenome. RNAcentral describes it as "partial contains 5.8S ribosomal RNA, internal transcribed spacer 2, and large subunit ribosomal RNA". The stretch from base 1 to 120 matches the Rfam family "5.8S ribosomal RNA", at positions 35 to 154 of the family's 154-position model. The record is from RNAcentral.
GAUGAAGAACGUAGCGAAAUGCGAUAAGUAAUGUGAAUUGCAGAAUUCAGUAAAUCAUCGAAUCUUUGAACGCACCUUGCGCUCCUUGGUAUUCCGAGGAGCAUGCCUGUUUGAGUGUCAUUAAAUUCUCAACCUCACCAACUUUGUUGUGUGCAGGCUUGGAUGUGGGGGUUGCAGGUCCACUCUCGUGGUCUGCUCCUCUGAAAUGUAUUAGUGGGUUGUGCCCCUAAUCUAUUGGUGUGAUAAUUAUCUACGCCGUGGAUUGGGUUGGUUACUUGAAGACCUGCUUCUAACCGUCCCUUGGACAACUUUUGACAAUUUUGACCUCAAAUCAGGCAAGACUACCCGCUGAACUUAAGCAUAUCAAUAAGCGGAGGA